UGGGGAAUAUUGGACAAUGGGCGAAAGCCUGAUCCAGCCAUGCCGCGUGAGUGAUGAAGGCCCUAGGGUUGUAAAGCUCUUUCAACGGUGAAGAUAAUGACGGUAACCGUAGAAGAAGCCCCGGCUAACUUCGUGCCAGCAGCCGCGGUAAUACGAAGGGGGCUAGCGUUGUUCGGAAUUACUGGGCGUAAAGCGCACGUAGGCGGACAUUUAAGUCAGGGGUGAAAUCCCGGGGCUCAACCCCGGAACUGCCUUUGAUACUGGGUGUCUCGAGUCCGGAAGAGGUGAGUGGAAUUCCGAGUGUAGAGGUGAAAUUCGUAGAUAUUCGGAGGAACACCAGUGGCGAAGGCGGCUCACUGGUCCGGUACUGACGCUGAGGUGCGAAAGCGUGGGGAGCAAACAGG
This 404-nucleotide ribosomal RNA is filed under the name uncultured Mesorhizobium sp. RNAcentral's name for it is "bacterial SSU rRNA". It matches the Rfam family "Bacterial small subunit ribosomal RNA", at positions 355 to 776 of the family's 1533-position model. The record is from RNAcentral. Lineage: Bacteria; Pseudomonadati; Pseudomonadota; Alphaproteobacteria; Hyphomicrobiales; Phyllobacteriaceae.